Molecule: ribosomal RNA, 348 nt
Filed under: uncultured archaeon
Lineage: Archaea
Description: bacterial SSU rRNA
Rfam family: Archaeal small subunit ribosomal RNA
Source: RNAcentral
ACUUUACAAUGCGGGAAACCGUGAUAAGGGGACACCGAGUGCUAGCAUCAUAUGCUAGCUGUCCAGGCGUGUAAACUACGCCUGUUAGCAAGGGCCGGGCAAGACCGGUGCCAGCCGCCGCGGUAACACCGGCGGCUCGAGUGGUAACCGUUAUUAUUGGGUCUAAAGGGUCUGUAGCCGGCCGGAUAAGUCUCUUGAGAAAUCUGGCAGCUUAACUGUCAGGCUUUCAGGAGAUACUGUCUGGCUCGAGGCCGGGAGAGGUGAGAGGUACUUCGAGGGGUAGGGUGAAAUCUUGUAAUCCUUGAAGGACCACCAGUGGCGAAGGCGUCUCACCAGAACGACCUGACG